CAAUAGCGUAUAUUAAAGUUGUUGCGGUUAAAAAGCUCGUAGUUGGAUUUCUGCUGAGAACGACCGGUCCGCCCUCUGGGUGUGUAUCUGGCUCUUUCUUGGCAUCUUCUUGGUGAACGUUGCUGCACUUGACUGUGUGGAGCGCUACCCAGGACUUUUACUUUGAGGAAAUUAGAGUGUUUCAAGCAGGCAUACGCCUUGAAUACAUUAGCAUGGAAUAAUAAGAUAGGACCUCGGUUCUAUUUUGUUGGUUUCUAGAGCUGAGGUAAUGAUUAAUAGGGAUAGUUGGGGGCAUUCGUAUUUAACUGUCAGAGGUGAAAUUCUUGGAUUUGUUAAAGACGAACUACUGCGAAAGCAUUUGCCAAGGAUGUUUUCGUUGA
Molecule: ribosomal RNA, 380 nt
Filed under: uncultured eukaryote
Lineage: Eukaryota
Description: partial 18S ribosomal RNA
Rfam family: Eukaryotic small subunit ribosomal RNA
Source: RNAcentral